This is a long non-coding RNA of Elaeis guineensis (African oil palm), 3052 nucleotides long. RefSeq lists it as uncharacterized. Lineage: Eukaryota; Viridiplantae; Streptophyta; Magnoliopsida; Arecales; Arecaceae. The record is from RefSeq and is a predicted model, not a curated record.
AUGAUCUCCGUUCACCACUGAUAUGGGCCUUAAUAAUGUUUCUUUUAUAUAAAUUUAUCCCUUAUGUAUGGUGCUAGAUUAAUGAUAUUUGUCCAUGAAAACGAGUAAUGUCGUAUGUAAACAAAUACUUGCACCCUUCCAAAUUAUGUUUUUGGCCUUCCAUAUUGUGUUGGAACUAAGAUUAGAUGAUUAAACCUUCUUGUUUUUCUAUAAUUCUUCUGGAUGGAAGCAAUAUAAUUUCAAAUAUUGGAUGUUUGAUAAAUGUUUAAGGUGGUGGGUAGAGUGAGGGUGCGUUGGAGGAGGGGAGGAUCAAGAAAGAGGUGAGGGUGGCAUGGAUUCGACUGGAGUUAGACACUUAUGUCAGGAGCUUAACUUUUUUUAUUUUUAAAAAUUUUCUACUUUUAUUUUAUUUUCUUUGUUUUUCUUAAAGUUUUUGAGGAAUUUUUUUUACUUUGUAAUAGGGGGAAGGCUGAAGCUCUCUUUUAGAUUGAAAGAGAAUUUUGUUUUUUUUUUUUGUGUUUUUUGGUAAGAAAAAAGAAUUUUGUUUAGUGCCUGUAGAAUAUUGCAUCGCCGCUGGCUUCCUCUCUUAAGGGGUUAAGCUCUAGAUCAAUAAUUUUUUUACUCUGGAGGCUCUCAAUGACAACUCAUGACAAUAUUUUUUUUGUUCAUGGUUCGCAAGCUAAUCAAGUGAUGACUUUAAUUUAUGGGAUGACCGUAUUGCCGAUAGGCUUGCGACUAAUUAUUCAUAAACAUGGCCUCUGAAUUGCCUUCCUAGCAGCAACUUUAGAAUCCAAUACCACACUAUUUCUCUUUCUAAAGAUAGGAUGGGGCCAGCCUAAUUUCUUUUAUUCAAAAAUGAAUUAGAAAUUACAAAAUCGUAUGGGAAAAAAGGUCAGAGAUAGUUCAAUGUUUUUUAUAAAAGAUAACUGGUUUUAUUAUUGUUAUUGUCAUGAGUGAGAAAGAGAGUUUCUCACAUCAUAAUUACUCUGGUUUAAAUAUUUUGGGAUGGAUUAUGUGAAGUUUGAACUAGGAUUUUUGGUUGCUAAGCAAAGAAGUGUGACCAUUAAGGUAAUCUCUAAUUUUUGCCUUUCGAUUGUCACCACCAACUAUUUUUUUGUGAUUUUAUCCAUACGCUGGAAAGAUUUAUCAGUGAGAGAAGGCACGGCUUGUGGAGAUCAAGGGGUUGGAAUCGUCCCUGAUCUCCUGAUCCUAGGACUGGGGUGACAACUUUUAGAUAAAGUAUAUAUAUGUGGCUUUGGAAUGUAUAUUUUAUGGAUAUGGUCUUCAGACAGAAUUUCUUUGUUUAUUUCCUAUAUUAUAAUCAAAACAUUAUAAUGAAAUAAGUCAAAACUGGAAAACUUGAGAUAAUGACUGUGUUAAUCUUGUAGAAAUUGUCUCAUCAUGCAAUCGUUUAUUCAUAUGAUGUAUACAUCCUAUGUUAUUCGCACCAUACUAUGUCCUAAUUGUGUGUGUGACUUCUAAAUUGGAUUGACUUUGCUUUCAUACAAAUUGUUUUUAUGAGAUGACCAUGACCAUUCUCUCGAAACCUUGCUGAGAAAAAGACUCGAAGCUAUUUUUUUUUUUUUGUAAAAAAAAAUUGCUGAAGAAGGCUAAUGAUAUGAAUAUGAAUACGAGCAUUCAACAUGUUAUAAAAAUUGAUUCAUCAAUUAUGAAUGCAUAUAGCUGUGAAAAAUCUAACAGUAUAGUGCAAUGAUGCAUUGAGGAAGCUACUUUCGAAAUGUUUGGGUGCUGGGCUUGCAACAAGCUAAUGUAGGGUAUGUCAGAGCUAAGAACCUUGCUCCCUUGGACUCGGUUAUGAGUUGAGGUUGCACUUACUUUCUUCUAAUUGAGUGAUGAUUAAAGCAGCUUGAUAUAAUAUUUUUGUUUUCUUUUCUUGCUACCCAGAUAGCAUCAUCAUAAUGCCGCCCACCUUGUAUGGCAGUCAUUUCAACUGAGAUGACUCCCAUUACUAAGACAUGUCCCUGGAUUGUAGGUUGAUAACUAAAAUUAUUAGUUUUCUAAAUUUUGCCAGACGUGUCAACAGUGAAGGAAUAUGGCGUCUCUGCUGACAGCAUUUGCAUGGAGGUAACACCAUCAAAUGGUGAUGUCGAUGCACACAUUGAUUGGGAACCUAAAGAUAUUCUUGCAGUGGAUAAGGCUACGGUAAAUGGACGGAUCAAUUCAUCUAGAGAAUCCAAGUCAAGGAUGGGUUUCUUACAGAUGUAGGAUGGACUGAAGAAGUGGGGAAAAGCAUGCAAAGAGUAGUCCAAGAGAAUCUGCCAAAUCCGAGGUCGUCAUCACUUGGAUUUAUGGAGAAAGACUCCAUGUGCACCUCACCAAUCCUAGUCGGAUGGAUGUUACAGUCGGUGAGGAACAGGGGCUGAUAAUAGUUUAUCUCAGCUGUUAUCUGAACCUUAGUUAUGUGCCGAUCUGAUCGGCUUGAGCCUUGCCGAGCUAAGUUAGGAGAUUGAAAUUUAUGGCGGUAGCUACGCAUCGAGUACUUGUCUUAUCCGCUCCAUAUUUUAAAUACGCUCCAAAUCCAACAUAUAGUGUCCCGCAUCGGCUCCACAAGACAAAGUAAUUCUAUCCACUAGUCCCGCCCUUCUUUCCAAAACUGGCCAACCGGCCCAUCUAUAAAUAGGAGAGAAUAAAAGACCUCCAAGAUAAGCUUUCAAGCUCCACUCUCUCAUUUCUUUCUACUGUUCUUUGAUGACUAAUUUGAGCAACGAAGGUUCCUACCUAAAACAAUUUUUUUAAAGGACUUGAUUUGCAGAUUUUCUCUUAUUUGAUAAGGUCUGUGUCAAACUUCGGCCAUUACAGAUCUGCCUACUCCAGCACCAAGUUAGCCGCCAGCAACAACAUGUACAAAUAAUGAAAGCAGGAGCUUGAAUUGUUUUGAAGAUCUAUGCAAAGUAUGAUCUAAUGGUGGAUGUCAUGAAAGAAAAUCAAUCGUUCUUUCAGGUGAAUGAUAUAACCCUUAUCCGACUUGGAGUGAAUAGCAUAUAUAAUGUGAUAGUGCAAUCAACAAUUUUAUGAGCAUUUUUACUAAAAA